GACGUAGGGCGCGAGCGUUGUCCGGAUUUAUUGGGCGUAAAGAGCUCGUAGGCGGCUUGUUGCGUCAGCUGUGAAAACCCGCAGCUCAACUGUGGGCUUGCAGCUGAUACGGGCAGGCUUGAGUUCGGUAGGGGAGACUGGAAUUCCUGGUGUAGCGGUGAAAUGCGCAGAUAUCAGGAGGAACACCGAUGGCGAAGGCAGGUCUCUGGGCCACUACUGACGCUGAGAAGCGAAAGCGUGGGGAGCGAACAGG
Molecule: ribosomal RNA, 253 nt
Filed under: uncultured bacterium
Lineage: Bacteria
Description: partial 16S ribosomal RNA
Rfam family: Bacterial small subunit ribosomal RNA
Source: RNAcentral